RNAcentral lists this long non-coding RNA (859 nucleotides) under Jatropha curcas. RNAcentral's name for it is "long non-coding RNA (JCUR_LNC000179)". Lineage: Eukaryota; Viridiplantae; Streptophyta; Magnoliopsida; Malpighiales; Euphorbiaceae. The record is from RNAcentral.
CAAAUUAAGAACCCAUAAUUAAAUUUCCUGCAAGAGCAUUUUGUGACACUAAAAAAUUUCAUCAACUUUCUCAUGGCUUUUGUGGGUGCCAACACCAGCUUUCUACCGAAUACUAUUCCACGUUUCUCUAGCUCCAAGCCCUACCAUCAAAAAGCUCUUAUCAUGUGAGUAGAUAACGAUAAAUUUAUGCUUUGAGAAAACUCUAAAACCAUAUUUGUGUCUGUGUAUAUGAACGUAAAUAUAUAUUAUGCAGCUAGUUAGCUAAGUUUGCAUUUUUGGUGAUCAUUAAUUUGUGAUUAAUAAUUUAUUCUAAUCCUUCUCUUUUCGUGGAUCAGAAAAAGUGCUAAACGGGAUGUCCCACCGCCCAGUUCUGGGAAAAAACCUCCGCAAAUUAAUAGUGUUCUGAUGGCCUCCAGGAGCACUGGAUUCAGAAAAGUCAUCGUUGCUUCUGGUAGCUUAAGUAUUGUUGAAGAUAACAAGAAAACUCAAGUAAUAGAUGAUGAUUCUAUUGCUUCGAAGAUUGAGAAUACUGAUUAAGACCAUCUUCUUCAUUUGACUACAUCAGGCUUUUUUAGUUUUUUAUUUUUCGCAGUCUCUUAACGUAUAGCAGCUUAAACAAACUGUAAGUUGAUGAUAAUUAAUGGCCAUAUGAAAUUAAUUCUUCUAAUCCCGUUUUAACAACAAACAAAAUUAAUUAGUGGUGUUUACUUCUUUAGUUGUUUAUUUUCCGUUUGGUUCUUGGGAAAAAAAUGUAUGAUAUAUGCUUUGAGAGAAAACCAGCCUCAUCACUUGUAUGUAGCCGAAUCAAAUGAGUAAAACGGGGAUAUACAUAUAUAUUAUCACUGGGAAAAGAAAAGCC